RNAcentral lists this long non-coding RNA (503 nucleotides) under Ananas comosus (pineapple). RNAcentral's name for it is "long non-coding RNA (ACOM_LNC035020)". The record is from RNAcentral. Lineage: Eukaryota; Viridiplantae; Streptophyta; Magnoliopsida; Poales; Bromeliaceae.
UUGCGGGAAUCAAAAAAGUGAUGUUCGAUGCGUUUCUCGGCGAAAUCCGCCGACGGAAUGCGGGUUCAGUUCGGAAUUAUUUCGACGGUGCUUCGUGAGCUGAUGUGUAGUCGUUGAGCCUUAUUGGCUGGUCACCCGUGUCAUUUCGAGGGUUCGGAAAUGACGGGUGAAAGACGGUGGGUUCCGGUGUCGAAAUAGACACUUCUGGGAACCCGGAUCGGAAUAAUUAUCCGACGAUAAUCGUUUCAAUGUGAGGCUAGGUGUUUGCUGCCAAGAGCCAUGAAUAAUGGCGUUUAGUGGCAGCGAGUGACUCGUAGUGCGAGUCAGUGAGUUCCGGGACAGUCCGUGGGUCCCGGCAGAGUCUCGGUGUAGUUUUCGGGAUUUCCGGUUUGUUCGGUAAUCGGUUUUGGGAAACCGAUCUCCGUGGGAUUGUUUGUGGGUUGUGUAUUCAGUGGUUUAUUUGUGGGGUUAUGCUUUUAAGGGUUUCUUAGUCGUAGGUUAGA